CUGAGUUAGGGUCCCACGGCCCGACCUCCAACCCUUGUGUUAAAUUACUAUGUUGCUUUGGCGGGCCCGGGGGUGAGCCCGCCGGGGGUUUUCGGUCCCUGGCCAGCGCCCGCCAAUGGCCCUCUUAAACUCGAUUAAAAUAUGCCGAGCUUAGUUAUAUUUUUAAUUGUUA
RNAcentral lists this unclassified non-coding RNA (172 nucleotides) under uncultured Eurotiomycetes. RNAcentral describes it as "sequence contains ITS1". Lineage: Eukaryota; Fungi; Ascomycota; Eurotiomycetes. The record is from RNAcentral.